RNAcentral lists this ribosomal RNA (1373 nucleotides) under Serratia nematodiphila. Its description in RNAcentral is "bacterial SSU rRNA". It matches the Rfam family "Bacterial small subunit ribosomal RNA", at positions 31 to 1404 of the family's 1533-position model. Lineage: Bacteria; Pseudomonadati; Pseudomonadota; Gammaproteobacteria; Enterobacterales; Yersiniaceae. The record is from RNAcentral.
GAACGCUGGCGGCAGGCUUAACACAUGCAAGUCGAGCGGUAGCACAGGGGAGCUUGCUCCCUGGGUGACGAGCGGCGGACGGGUGAGUAAUGUCUGGGAAACUGCCUGAUGGAGGGGGAUAACACUGGAAACGGUAGCUAAUACCGCAUAACGUCGCAAGACCAAAGAGGGGGACCUUCGGGCCUCUUGCCAUCAGAUGUGCCCAGAUGGGAUUAGCUAGUAGGUGGGGUAAUGGCUCACCUAGGCGACGUCCCUAGCUGGUCUGAGAGGAUGACCAGCCACACUGGAACUGAGACACGGUCCAGACUCCUACGGGAGGCAGCAGUGGGGAAUAUUGCACAAUGGGCGCAAGCCUGAUGCAGCCAUGCCGCGUGUGUAAGAAGGCCUUCGGGUUGUAAAGCACUUUCAGCGAGGAGGAAGGUGGUGAGCUUAAUACGUUCAUCAAUUGACGUUACUCGCAGAAGAAGCACCGGCUAACUCCGUGCCAGCAGCCGCGGUAAUACGAGGGUGCAAGCGUUAAUCGGAAUUACUGGGCGUAAAGCGCACGCAGGCGGUUUGUUAAGUCAGAUGUGAAAUCCCCGGGCUCAACCUGGGAACUGCAUUUGAAACUGGCAAGCUAGAGUCUCGUAGAGGGGGUAGAAUUCCAGGUGUAGCGGUGAAAUGCGUAGAGAUCUGGAGGAAUACCGGUGGCGAAGGCGGCCCCCUGGACGAAGACUGACGCUCAGGUGCGAAAGCGUGGGGAGCAAACAGGAUUAGAUCCCUGGUAGUCCACGCUGUAAACGAUGUCGAUUUGGAGGUUGUGCCCUUGAGGCGUGGCUUCCGGAGCUAACGCGUUAAAUCGACCGCCUGGGGAGUACGGCCGCAAGGUUAAAACUCAAAUGAAUUACGGGGGCCCGCACAAGCGGUGGAGCAUGUGGUUUAAUUCGAUGCAACGCGAAGAACCUUACCUACUCUUGACAUCCAGAGAACUUUCCAGAGAUGGAUUGGUGCCUUCGGGAACUCUGAGACAGGUCUGCAUGGCUGUCGUCAGCUCGUGUUGUGAAAUGUUGGGUUAAGUCCCGCAACGAGCGCAACCCUUAUCCUUUGUUGCCAGCGGUUCGGCCGGGAACUCAAAGGAGACUGCCAGUGAUAAACUGGAGAAGGUGGGGAUGACGUCAAGUCAUCAUGGCCCUUACGAGUAGGGCUACACACGUGCUACAAUGGCGUAUACAAAGAGAAGCGACCUCGCGAGAGCAAGCGGACCUCAUAAAGUACGUCGUAGUCCGGUUGGAGUCUGCAACUCGACUCCAUGAAGUCGGAAUCGCUAGUAAUCGUAGAUCAGAAUGCUACGGUGAAUACGUUCCCGGGCCUUGUACACACCGCCCGUCACACCA